RNAcentral lists this transfer RNA (65 nucleotides) under Trigonotylus caelestialium. RNAcentral's name for it is "tRNA-Asn". Lineage: Eukaryota; Metazoa; Arthropoda; Insecta; Hemiptera; Miridae. The record is from RNAcentral.
UUAACCAAAGCCAAAAAGAGGCAUUUCAUUGUUAAUGAAAAUAUUGAAUAUUAAUUCUGGUUAAA